GAUGUUGGGUUAAGUCCCGCAACGAGCGCAACCCUUGUCUUUAGUUGCCAUCAUUAAGUUGGGCACUCUAGAGAGACUGCCAGGGAUAACCUGGCGGAAGGUGGGGAUGACGUCAAAUCAUCAUGCCCCUUAUGCUUAGGGCUACACACGUGCUACAAUGGGUAGUACAGAGGGUUGCCAAGCCGUAAGGUGGAGCUAAUCCCUUAAAGCUA
This 212-nucleotide ribosomal RNA is filed under the name Clostridioides difficile. RNAcentral describes it as "partial 16S ribosomal RNA". It matches the Rfam family "Bacterial small subunit ribosomal RNA", at positions 1071 to 1284 of the family's 1533-position model. The record is from RNAcentral. Lineage: Bacteria; Bacillati; Bacillota; Clostridia; Peptostreptococcales; Peptostreptococcaceae.